UCAUUUCAGUACAAGUAUAAUGAAUUUUGAGCUAUAGCCGGCUUCACUAUAACAACUGAUGCAUAUGUGGUAGUAGAGAGGGCUUCCAAGUUCCAACCCCAAACAGUUAUUUUAUCAUAAGGCCCAACUUGCACUUCUAAUCUAAUUUGACUGUAGCAAACUUUCGCUUGGAGAUUUUGUUUUUUAGCUUCCUCUGGUUUGUCUUUUGCAUGGUAUCUUUGAUCUCAGCUACCCACAAAUCGCCCUGAUGAUGGUCUCUGUCGAACUCCCACAUAGCGUUUUCUACCUCUCUGAAGCUGAGUUCCUCCAAGUUCCAGGCACUACAUUUUAUGAAACUGGUGACACUAGAAUGCAACUAAGAGGUUGUUAACAGUUGAGGGAUAUCAUAUUUGGUAGAGUAUGGACAUUGGGGGAGGAUGCUCUUGAGGAAUGGUAACCAGAUUUCUAGUUGAGACAAGUUAGUGAGACCUUGCACAACUACAACUGGAAUAAGGAAUAAAGCUGUGAGGAGAAUACAAGCAACGAUGACAAUCAGUUGAGAUAUCCAUCUUCGCAUGAAUGAUUCAGAGAACAAAGGCCAAUAAACAUCAUGUGGCUCGGGAGCUUGCUCUGCUACCAUUUGCGUAGGAUUAU
Coffea arabica (coffee) is the source of this 633-nucleotide non-coding RNA. NCBI's taxonomy places the organism in Eukaryota, Viridiplantae, Streptophyta, Magnoliopsida, Gentianales, Rubiaceae. The record is from RefSeq and is a predicted model, not a curated record.